UACGGAGGGUGCAAGCGUUGUUCGGAUUUAUUGGGCGUAAAGCGCGUGUAGGCGGUUUCUUAAGUCUGAUGUGAAAGCCCUGGGCUCAACCCAGGAAGUGCAUUGGAUACUGGGAGACUUGAAUACGGGAGAGGGUAGUGGAAUUCCUAGUGUAGGAGUGAAAUCCGUAGAUAUUAGGAGGAACACCGGUGGCGAAGGCGGCUACCUGGACCGAUAUUGACGCUGAGACGCGAAAGCGUGGGGAGCGAACAGG
Molecule: ribosomal RNA, 253 nt
Filed under: uncultured bacterium
Lineage: Bacteria
Description: partial 16S ribosomal RNA
Rfam family: Bacterial small subunit ribosomal RNA
Source: RNAcentral